This 654-nucleotide ribosomal RNA is filed under the name uncultured archaeon. RNAcentral's name for it is "bacterial SSU rRNA". It matches the Rfam family "Archaeal small subunit ribosomal RNA", at positions 508 to 1160 of the family's 1478-position model. The record is from RNAcentral.
GCCUAAAGCGUCCGUAGCCUGCUUUGUAAGUUUUCGGUUAAAUCCAUAUGCUCAACAUAUGGGCUGCCGGGAAUACUGCACAGCUAGGGAGUGGGAGAGGUAGACGGUACUCGGUAGGGAGGGGUAAAAUCCUUUGAUCUAUUGAUGACCACCUGUGGCGAAGGCGGUCUACCAGAACACGUCCGACGGUGAGGGAUGAAAGCUGGGGGAGCAAACCGGAUUAGAUACCCGGGUAGUCCCAGCUGUAAACUAUGCAAACUCGGUGAUGCGUUGGCUUGUAGCUAGCGCAGUGCCGCAGGGAAGCCGUUAAGUUUGCCGCCUGGGAAGUACGUACGCAAGUAUGAAACUUAAAGGAAUUGGCGGGGGAGCACCACAAGGGGUGAAGCCUGCGGUUCAAUUGGAGUCAACGCCAGAAAUCUUACCCGGAGAGACAGCAGAAUGAAGGUCAAGCUGAAGACUUUACCAGACAAGCUGAGAGGUGGUGCAUGGCCGUCGCCAGCUCGUGCCGUGAGGUGUCCUGUUAAGUCAGGUAACGAGCGAGACCCUUGCCUCUAGUUGCCACCAUUACUCUCAGGAGUAGUGGGGCGAAUUAGCGGGACCGCCGCAGUUAAUGUGGAGGAAGGAAAGGGCCACGGCAGGUCAGUAUGCCCCGAA